Molecule: long non-coding RNA, 1316 nt
Organism: Entelurus aequoreus (snake pipefish)
Lineage: Eukaryota; Metazoa; Chordata; Actinopteri; Syngnathiformes; Syngnathidae
Exons: 4
Source: RefSeq, a predicted model, not a curated record
GAAGAAGAUCCACACUUCCGGGUGGUGAUGACGUCGCGUCGUGACGUCAUAUUUCAAAAUGGCAGAGCCCGCGGAAAGACCCCCUGGAGUCGACUCCAUUUCCCAAGAAAAGAUGUCAACAGCGCGACUUGUAACAAUUAUAAGGCCGAGGAGGGUUAUUUGAACACACACCAUUCAAUUAUUAUAAAUGAAAGUCACGUUUUUUAACCGCUCCGGUCUCGUCCCAGCGGAAGUGACGCUAGCACGUCAUCAGAAUACAACAGAUCAACACGACGAGAGAGACAUUCUGCCGCUAGACGAAGGUCACCGAGCAGCGACGAAGUUUGCAUUUUCGGUAGAGGUCCAGGGAGCCACGAGGGCGGUGCUAAAGAGACGCGGGUUGCUGACCCCCGGCCUACACCCUAGACUGGCCGCCAGUUCAUCACAGGACACAUGAACAAGCCUUCGCCCUCAAAUCAGAGAAAAACAACAACACCAGAAAUGUGUCCCGUGAAAAACCGUCCGACCAGAACUCUAAUAACUAAAGUUCCUUGGGUGAAUAAUGGUAACUCACUACACCGGUAUGUUUUAGGGCUUUCAUGGCGAGUUUACUGACUGAAAUAAGUAAUAACUUUACACUGCUUUUUAUUAGAAAUGGCAACAGCAGAGGAUGGAUGUCCCAUAACAAGAAGGUGGAGAAAAAGAAGAAGCUUAUCGACUACGGUGUCGGCACGGACUACAAAGGCGGACCUGCACAAAUUUUCAGGUACCAGAAGGUAAGAAAAGUUUCUUUUGCAUAAUAUUGCGAAACAAAACACCAGAAAAUAUGUCUUACCUUAUACACACACCAUAAUAAUACUCCUAUGUUGAAGCACAGUACAAUCCAUCAAGCGGUGCAGUUUCAUAGCUGACCAAAGUCCUACUAAAACAUUUUGAUAGAUUUUUGAGCGCCGUGUGUAAUGUUCUAUAUUUUCAAUGGAGCAUAUACAAUGUUGGUGUUGUUUACUUGAGUCAUAUUGCGGUCUACACAAAAUCAAAUCAAAUCAAUAAUGGAGCAGCAUCUCCUCAUCCGGAAACAACCACACCGGAAAUGUGUCCCGUGAAAAACCGUUCAACCGGAACUCUCUAAUAACUAAACUUCCUUGGGUGAAUAAUGUAAACUCACUACACCGGUAUGUUUUAGCGCUUUCAUGGCAAGUUUACUGACAGAUAUAAGUGAGAACUUGACACUACUUUAUAUUAGAAAUGGCAACAGCGGAGGAUGAAUGUCACAUAACAAGAAGAUAGAGAAAAAGAAGAAGCUUAUUAACUACAAAGGCGGACACACAAUUUUUCAA